Molecule: ribosomal RNA, 253 nt
Filed under: uncultured bacterium
Lineage: Bacteria
Description: partial 16S ribosomal RNA
Rfam family: Bacterial small subunit ribosomal RNA
Source: RNAcentral
UACAGAGGUCUCAAGCGUUGUUCGGAUUCAUUGGGCGUAAAGGGUGUGUAGGUGGCGCCGUAAGUCGGGUGUGAAAUUUCGGAGCUUAACUCCGAAACUGCAUUCGAUACUGCGGUGCUUGAGGACUGGAGAGGAGACUGGAAUUCCUGGUGUAGCGGUGAAAUGCGCAGAUAUCAGGAGGAACACCGGUGGCGAAGGCGGGUCUCUGGGCCGAUACUGACGCUGAGGAGCGAAAGCGUGGGGAGCGAAUAGG